UGGACAUGCUAGCUGGUUGCUCUAUGCUU
Molecule: non-coding RNA, 29 nt
Filed under: Rattus norvegicus (Norway rat)
Lineage: Eukaryota; Metazoa; Chordata; Mammalia; Rodentia; Muridae
Source: RNAcentral